CCGUUCCCUGUUUCCCAUUAAAUCCCAGUCCCAGUUCCUGACUGGGAGCAGCACUGGGCUGCUCUUAACCAGUUCCCCCCAAUUAACGAGGGUCCCCCUGCAGUUCAUGAGUUCCCACUGCUCUCCUGAGUUCUCUAAUGAGUUAUACCAAGUUUCUGUGUGCUUCCAGAAAUCCUGAGGUUCCUGCUCUGGGAUCUCCCAGUCCUGCAGCUCCCCUCACCUUCUGUGCCAUUCAUUGACCAUUUGCACUAAAAAUGUGGAAUUUUUUCUUGGCUUCCCUGUGUCUCUUUCUCUUUUUUUUUUUUUUUUUUUUAUCCCCCAUUUUUUUAGAUUUUAGUUUUAUCCUUCUUCACACUUUCCAGAGGUUUCCCCUCAUCUCUUGGGAAUAUUUUGGGAUAUUUUUUGGCAGGGUUUGAGCCCGGUAGGACACGUUCACUCCUGCUUGUUUCAGAUGCCUCAGGCUGUUCCAGGGCAGGGAGGAGACAAAAGGAGCUGAGACAGGAGAAACCUGGGAAGGACAGGAGGGAGCUGGGCCCAGGGACUCAGGGCCCUGUGCUGAAGGUGCAGAGGGAGCCUGGAGCUCCUGCUCAGCUCCUGGAGCUCCUGCUCAGCUCCUGGAAAUCCUGCUCAGCUCCUGGGGCUCCUGCUCAGCUCCUGGAGCUCCUGCUCAGCUCCUGGAACUGCUGCUCAGCUCCUGGAACUGCUGCUCAGCUCCUGGAGCUCCUGCUCAGCUCCUGGAACUGCUGCUCAGCUCCUGGAGCUCCUGCUCAGCUCCUGGAACUGCUGCUCAGCUCCUGGAACUGCUGCUCAGCUCCUGGAGCUCCUGGUCAGCUCCUGGAGCUCUGCUCAGCUCCUGGAGCUCCUGCUCAGCUCCUGGAACUGCUGCUCAGCUCCUGGAAAUCCUGCUCAGCUCCUGGAGCUCCUGGUCAGCUCCUGGAACUGCUGCUCAGCUCCUGGAGCUCCUGCUCAGCUCCUGGAACUGCAGCUCAGCUCCUGGAACUGCAGCUCAGCUCCUGGAGCUCCUGCUCAGCUCCUGGAACUGCUGCUCAGCUCCUGGAACUGCUGCUCAGCUCCUGGAGCUCCUGCUCAGCUCCUGGAGCUCCUGCUCAGCUCCUGGAACUGCUGCUCAGCUCCUGGAGCUCCUGCUCAGCUCCUGGAGCUCCUGCUCAGCUCCUGGAACUGCUGCUCAGCUCCUGGAGCUCCUGCUCAGCUCCUGGAACUGCUGCUCAGCUCCUGGAAUUCCUGCUCAGCUCCUGGAACUGCAGCUCAGCUCCUGGAGCUCCUGCUCAGCUCCUGGAAUUCCUGCUCAGCUCCUGGAAUUCCUGCUCAGCUCCUGGAACUGCUGCUCAGCUCCUGGGGCUCCUGCUCAGCUCCUGUGGAGGAAUGCCCUGGAAUGGCUCUGUGCUGGUGGCCAUCCCUGGCCGGGGGGGUUUGAACCCCAGAGUCACUCCAGGAUUUAACAAACCCAGAGUCACUCCAGAGUUUAAUAAACCCCAGAGUCACUCCAGAGUGAAGCAGCCAAGCAGGAGCUGAAGUUCUGAGAUUCUGAAAUUCUGUGAUCCUGAGUUUCUAAAAUUCUGGGUGUCUGAGAUUCUGCAAUUCUGAGAUUCUGAGUUUAUGAGAUUCUCAAGUUCUGAGUUUCUCAAAUUCUGAGUUUCUGAAAUUCUGAGCUUCUGAAAUUCUGAGAUUCUGAAAUUCUGUGUUUCUGAAAUUCUGAGUUUCUCAAAUUCUGGGUUUCUGAAAUUCUGAGGCUCGAGCGGCUCCGGCUCCUUCCCGGAUUUUUAACUCCGUGUGUAAAUAAGAGCUUUCUGUUUCUUAGACUUGUAAGCAGACCUUGCAAAUGGCCUUAAUUCCAAACUAGCACACCUGGGAUACAGCUGGCACAGUCAGGGAGCCUCCAGCUGGGAGAAAUGUGGCUUUUAAAGGGCUGGGAUCCCCUGGGGAUGCUGUGGGACAGGAUGGGCUCAUCCCGGCCCUGGAGAUCCAGGGAUUCCAGCAGCUCCUCCCUUCCCUUCCUGGGAGCUGCCCCAGAGGGUUCCCCCCUUCUUCAAAUCCCAGGUUUUGUGGCAUCAGGCUGAUCUGGAAGCAAACCCAGAGAAAAGCAUGGAGCAGAUCCCAAGUGUUCCAAGAAUCCACUUUUAUUUCCCAAGGAGCAACCCCUGCUCGUUUCAGUGUGUGGGGGGCUCCCUGCCCAGGGCUGGGAGCACAGAGGGGAAAAAAACAAACCAAGGACAAAAUGGUGUUAAAAACCAAGGAAGAAAUGAUGUUACAAACCAAGGAGGAAAUGGUGUUACAAACCAAGGAGGAAAUGGUGUUGAUUGCUGUUUUGCUCAGUUUGGUUUCAGUGCUGGUGAAGCUGUCUGCUGUCUCCAGGGGUGACUGUCCCUCCCUCCCUCCGUGUUUUUCUAUCUCCAUAACAGAUUAACCCCCCAGUCCCCGAGCUAGACUGUUGCAUUUGCCAAUACAAUGGGGAAGAACAGGAAUAAACCCUCGGUGCAGCCAAAACUGUGAUUUUUUUUUUUUUAAUUUUUUUUUUUCCCAGCAGCCAGCCCAGCCCUGGUGCUGUGGGGGUCUGGGAGAGGCUCCUUUCCCUGUACAUUGAUUUUCCCUCUGGGCAUUUGUGACCAGCCCAGCUCCCACAGCUCCUGGGCUGGGCUCUGUCCCUGGGCUGAGCUCUGUCCCUGGGCUGAUUUUUCAUUUUUGGGAGGGGAAAACCUUUCCAGAAAUGGUGAAAUGGCGCCGGGCCCGUGGAGGUUCUGUGGAUUUUUUGAUGAAUUCAUUUCUGGGAGAGCUCCUGGGUGAACCUUCAGCUCAGAGGGAGGUUGGGUUUCGUGGUCCUGGAGGUCUUUUCCAACCUUGGUUUGGUUGUUCCUUUCCAGCUUUGAUUCCAGAAUUCUUUUCCAACCUUGAUUUGAUUUUUCUUCUCCCACCUUGAUUGGGUCGUUCUUUUCCAACCUUAAUUCAGUGAUUCUUUUCCAAACUUGGUUCAGGUUCUUUUCCAACCUUAAUUCAGUGAUUUUUUUCCCAACCCUGUUUCCGUGGCUCUUUCCCAGCCUCGAUUCCCUCAUUCCAAGAGCCAAAGCUGCCCUGAGUUUAUCUAAAAGCAGUUCACCUAAACUUCCCCCAAAACUUGCAUUUCUGUCAAAACAACAAUUAAGGCUUGAGCUGUUCCCUUAGGGAAAGACCCUGGACUCCCCCUCUGGACACGAAGGAAGCAGGAAGGCCCCUCCUCCCCCUCAGAUCCCACCCUUGGCUGUUUUUUUUUCGGGAGAAUCCCCAAAA
Molecule: long non-coding RNA, 3282 nt
Organism: Oenanthe melanoleuca
Lineage: Eukaryota; Metazoa; Chordata; Aves; Passeriformes; Muscicapidae
Exons: 2
Source: RefSeq, a predicted model, not a curated record